This is a small nuclear RNA of Lagopus muta (rock ptarmigan), 111 nucleotides long. NCBI's taxonomy places the organism in Eukaryota, Metazoa, Chordata, Aves, Galliformes, Phasianidae. The record is from RefSeq and is a predicted model, not a curated record.
UUAUUGUAUGAAACGCAAGAAGGUGAGUGUUCCCUUUGAUAAGGAUGAAAGAGGCCCUAAUGGACCAUACAAUGUGCACGGUGAAGGCAUAGCAUUUAACCAUGUUUUUGG